Molecule: long non-coding RNA, 150 nt
Organism: Myxocyprinus asiaticus (Chinese sucker)
Lineage: Eukaryota; Metazoa; Chordata; Actinopteri; Cypriniformes; Catostomidae
Exons: 3
Source: RefSeq, a predicted model, not a curated record
CAGAAAUCUAGGGCUUCACACAAUCUUGAAAUUAUGAAGGCUGUACUCUGAAAAAAUCAGAUUUAUCAUGGAGGUGAUGAGAACUCUUCUGCUUCUCUUCUGUUCACUUUCUUGGACUACAGAAGGUAACCAAGACACUUAUUUGUCAAU